GGUUGCGAUCAUACCAGCACUAAUGCACCGGAUCCCAUCAGAACUCCGCAGUUAAGCAUGCUUGGGCGAGAGUAGUACUAGGAUGGGUGACCCCAUGGGAAGUCCUCGUGUUGCAACCCC
RNAcentral lists this ribosomal RNA (120 nucleotides) under Helianthus annuus (common sunflower). Lineage: Eukaryota; Viridiplantae; Streptophyta; Magnoliopsida; Asterales; Asteraceae. The record is from RNAcentral.